This 612-nucleotide ribosomal RNA is filed under the name Triticum aestivum (bread wheat). RNAcentral's name for it is "partial small subunit ribosomal RNA". The record is from RNAcentral. Lineage: Eukaryota; Viridiplantae; Streptophyta; Magnoliopsida; Poales; Poaceae.
AUGGGAGUGAGAGGCACAAUACAUUCUCAAAUAACGAAGGGGCACAAGACAUUCAGCGUGAGCGAGGUGGAGGCGCUCUUCGAGCUCUUCAAGACCAUCAGCGGCUCCCUCAUCGACGACGGCCUCAUCAACAAGGAAGAGUUCCAGCUUGCAUUGUUCAAGAGCAAGAUGGACAAUAUUUUUGCUAACCGGAUAUUUGACCUCUUCGAUGUCAAGAAACGGGGGGUCAUUGACUUUGCUGACUUCGUUCAAGCUCUAAAUAUAUUUCACCCUAGCGUUCCAAUGGAAGAGAAAAUUGAUUUUUCCUUCAAGCUAUAUGAUAUGGACAAUACAGGAUUUAUCGAACGGAAAGAGGUCAAGCAGAUGCUUGUUGCUCUUCUGAGUGAAUCAGGAAUGAGGUUAUCAGAUGAAACCAUUGAGUCAAUCCUUGACAAGACAUUUUCAGAUGCUGAUGUGAAUCAGGACGGGAAAAUAGAUAGAGCGGAGUGGGAGAACUUUGUCUCACGAAAUCCCUCCUUGAUGAAGAUAAUGACUCUGCCAUACCUAAAGGACAUAACGACCACAUUCCCUAGCUUUGUGUUCAACUCGAAGGUCGACGACAUCGUGACGUGA